This 63-nucleotide transfer RNA is filed under the name Cavia porcellus (domestic guinea pig). It matches the Rfam family "tRNA", at positions 5 to 66 of the family's 71-position model. From Rfam's summary of the family: Transfer RNA (tRNA) molecules are approximately 80 nucleotides in length. Their secondary structure includes four short double-helical elements and three loops (D, anti-codon, and T loops). Further hydrogen bonds mediate the characteristic L-shaped molecular structure. tRNAs have two regions of fundamental functional importance: the anti-codon, which is responsible for specific mRNA codon recognition, and the 3' end, to which the tRNAs corresponding amino acid is attached (by aminoacyl-tRNA synthetases). tRNAs cope with the degeneracy of the genetic code in two manners: having more than one tRNA (with a specific anti-codon) for a particular amino acid; and 'wobble' base-pairing, i.e. permitting non-standard base-pairing at the 3rd anti-codon position. Lineage: Eukaryota; Metazoa; Chordata; Mammalia; Rodentia; Caviidae. The record is from Rfam by way of RNAcentral.
GUGUGACUUAGUGGUAAAGCACUUGCCUAGCAAGCAUGAGGCCCUGGAUUCAAUUACCAGCAC